This 505-nucleotide ribosomal RNA is filed under the name uncultured bacterium. Its description in RNAcentral is "bacterial SSU rRNA". It matches the Rfam family "Bacterial small subunit ribosomal RNA", at positions 28 to 520 of the family's 1533-position model. The record is from RNAcentral.
GAUGAACGCUAGCGACAGGCGUAACACAUGCAAGUCGAGGGGCAGCAUAAAAGUAGCAAUACUUUGGUGGCGACCGGCGCACGGGUGAGUAACGCGUAUGCAACCUACCUAUCAGAGGGGGAUAACCCGGCGAAAGUCGGACUAAUACCGCAUAAAACAGGGGCACCGCAUGGUGAUAUUUGUAAAAAUUUAUUGCUGAUAGAUGGGCAUGCGUUCCAUUAGGUAGUUGGAGAGGUAACGGCUCACCAAGCCCACGAUGGAUAGGGGAACUGAGAGGUUGGUCCCCCACACUGGUACUGAGACACGGACCAGACUCCUACGGGAGGCAGCAGUGAGGAAUAUUGGUCAAUGGGCGAGAGCCUGAACCAGCCAAGUCGCGUGAAGGAAGAAGGAUCUAUGGUUCGUAAACUUCUUUUGCAGGGGGAAUAAAGUGCAGGACGUGUCCUGUGCGGAUGACGGUACCGGCAUAAGAAGCACCGGNUAACUACGUGCCAGCAGCCGACGG